AAUAGAUACCCCGGUAGUCCACGCAGUAAACGAUGCAGACUAGGCGUGGGGGGGACUUGACCCCCUCCGUGCCGCAGCCAACGCGUGAAGUCUGCCGCCUGGGGAGUACGGCCGCAAGGCUAAAACUCAAAGGAAUUGACGGGGGCCCGCACAAGCGGCGGAGCGUGCGGUUUAAUUCGAAGCAACGCGAAGAACCUUACCAGGUCUUGACAUCUCCUGACCGCCCUGGAGACAGGGUCUUCCCUUCGGGGACAGGAUGACAGGUGGUGCGUGGUUGUCGUCAGCUCGUGUCGUGAGAUGUUGGGCUAAGUCCCGCAACGAGCGCAACCCUUGUCCUUAGUUGCCAGCAUUCAGUUGGGCACUCUAGGGAGACCGCCGGCGUCAAGCCGGAGGAAGGCGGGGAUGACGUCAAGUCCUCAUGGCCUUUAUGUCCAGGGCUGCACACGUGCUACAAUGGUGCACACAAUGGGAUGCCAAGUCGCGAGACGGAGCCAAUCCCACAAAAAUGUACCCCAGUUCGGAUUGCAGG
This 529-nucleotide ribosomal RNA is filed under the name uncultured bacterium. RNAcentral's name for it is "bacterial SSU rRNA". It matches the Rfam family "Bacterial small subunit ribosomal RNA", at positions 777 to 1304 of the family's 1533-position model. The record is from RNAcentral.